This 626-nucleotide ribosomal RNA is filed under the name uncultured bacterium. RNAcentral's name for it is "bacterial SSU rRNA". It matches the Rfam family "Bacterial small subunit ribosomal RNA", at positions 243 to 859 of the family's 1533-position model. The record is from RNAcentral.
AGCUAGUUGGUAGGGUAAUGGCCUACCAAGGCGACGAUGGUUAGCUGGUCUGAGAGGAUGAUCAGCCACACUGGAACUGAGACACGGUCCAGACUCCUACGGGAGGCAGCAGUGAGGAAUAUUGCGCAAUGGGGGCAACCCUGACGCAGCAACGCCGCGUGAGUGAGGAAGGUUUUCGGACCGUAAAGCUCUGUCGAGCGGGAAGAAAUGCAUGGUGGCUAAUAUCCAUCAUGCUUGACGGUACCGCUAAAGGAAGCACCGGCUAACUCCGUGCCAGCAGCCGCGGUAAUACGGGGGGUGCGAGCGUUGUUCGGAAUUAUUGGGCGUAAAGAGCGUGUAGGCGGCCGAAUAAGUCAGAUGUGAAAUCCCUGGGCUUAACCCAGGACGUGCAUUUGAAACUAUUCGGCUAGAGUAGGGGAGAGGAAAGUGGAAUUCCUGGUGUAGAGGUGAAAUUCGUAGAUAUCAGGAGGAACACCGGUGGCGAAGGCGACUUUCUGGCCCUAUACUGACGCUGAGACGCGAGAGCGUGGGUAGCAAACAGGAUUAGAUACCCUGGUAGUCCACGCUGUAAACGAUGUUCACUAGGUGUUGGGGGUAUUGACCCUCUCAGUGCCGCAGCUAACGCA